Molecule: non-coding RNA, 223 nt
Organism: Caenorhabditis elegans
Lineage: Eukaryota; Metazoa; Nematoda; Chromadorea; Rhabditida; Rhabditidae
Source: Ensembl
AUGAUUAAAGAGAAGAAGCUAUCGACAAAAUACAUUUGACGAGCAACAAAAAAAAACAGAUAUGACCAAAAACGAUUGAAAAAUUUUUGAUCAGAAGAUGAAGAAUGCCGUUUUUGUUAUGAAUGGUUACGAAUAAAAUUUUAGCAGUUUUCUUCAAUAAACUGUCUUAAAUUAGUCUGUAAAAAUGGGCGAGGAUAUUGACCAAAUUUGCAAAUUGCUUAAA